This 970-nucleotide ribosomal RNA is filed under the name Kocuria palustris. RNAcentral describes it as "bacterial SSU rRNA". It matches the Rfam family "Bacterial small subunit ribosomal RNA", at positions 36 to 1012 of the family's 1533-position model. The record is from RNAcentral. Lineage: Bacteria; Bacillati; Actinomycetota; Actinomycetes; Micrococcales; Micrococcaceae.
CUGGCGGCGUGCUUAACACAUGCAAGUCGAACGCUGAAGCACCAGCUUGCUGGUGUGGAUGAGUGGCGAACGGGUGAGUAAUACGUGAGUAACCUGCCCUUGACUCUGGGAUAAGCCCGGGAAACUGGGUCUAAUACUGGAUGCUACAUGUCACCGCAUGGUGGUGUGUGGAAAGGGUUUACUGGUCUUGGAUGGGCUCACGGCCUAUCAGCUUGUUGGUGAGGUAAUGGCUCACCAAGGCGACGACGGGUAGCCGGCCUGAGAGGGUGACCGGCCACACUGGGACUGAGACACGGCCCAGACUCCUACGGGAGGCAGCAGUGGGGAAUAUUGCACAAUGGGCGAAAGCCUGAUGCAGCGACGCCGCGUGAGGGAUGACGGCCUUCGGGUUGUAAACCUCUUUCAGCAGGGAAGAAGCCACAAGUGACGGUACCUGCAGAAGAAGCGCCGGCUAACUACGUGCCAGCAGCCGCGGUAAUACGUAGGGCGCAAGCGUUGUCCGGAAUUAUUGGGCGUAAAGAGCUCGUAGGCGGUUUGUCGCGUCUGCUGUGAAAGCCCGGGGCUUAACCCCGGGUGUGCAGUGGGUACGGGCAGACUAGAGUGCAGUAGGGGAGACUGGAAUUCCUGGUGUAGCGGUGGAAUGCGCAGAUAUCAGGAGGAACACCGAUGGCGAAGGCAGGUCUCUGGGCUGUUACUGACGCUGAGGAGCGAAAGCAUGGGGAGCGAACAGGAUUAGAUACCCUGGUAGUCCAUGCCGUAAACGUUGGGCACUAGGUGUGGGGGACAUUCCACGUUUUCCGCGCCGUAGCUAACGCAUUAAGUGCCCCGCCUGGGGAGUACGGCCGCAAGGCUAAAACUCAAAGGAAUUGACGGGGGCCCGCACAAGCGGCGGAGCAUGCGGAUUAAUUCGAUGCAACGCGAAGAACCUUACCAAGGCUUGACAUAUACCGGAUCGUUCCAGAGAUGGUUC